CCUACGGGGAGCAGCAGUAGGGAAUAUUGCUCAAUGGGGGAAACACUGAAGCAGCAACGCCGCGUGGAGGAUGAAGGUUUUCGGAUUGUAAACUCCUUUUGUUAGAGAAGAAAAUGACGGUAUCUAACGAAUAAGCACCGGCUAACUCCGUGCCAGCAGCCGCGGUAAUACGGAGGGUGCAAGCGUUACGCGGAAUCACUGGGCGCAAAGAGCGCGUAGGCGGGUUAGCAAGUCAGAUGUGAAAUCCUAGGGCUUAACCAUAGAACUGCAGUUGAAACUGUUAUUCUAGAGUAGGGGAGAGGUAGGUGGAAUUCUUGGUGUAGCGGUGAAAUCCGUAGAGAUCAAGAGGAAUACUCAUUGCGAAGGCGACCUGCUAGAACAUAACUGACGCUGAUGCGCGAAAGCGUGGGGAGCAAACAGGAUUAGAUACCCUAGUAGUC
Molecule: ribosomal RNA, 440 nt
Filed under: uncultured bacterium
Lineage: Bacteria
Description: partial 16S ribosomal RNA
Rfam family: Bacterial small subunit ribosomal RNA
Source: RNAcentral